Molecule: long non-coding RNA, 1698 nt
Organism: Brassica napus (rape)
Lineage: Eukaryota; Viridiplantae; Streptophyta; Magnoliopsida; Brassicales; Brassicaceae
Exons: 5
Source: RefSeq, a predicted model, not a curated record
UUGCUUCAUUCAACCAGCCCAGCAGAGAUUAACUGUAAACGCUGCAUCACGCAUCGUUUUCCUAUUAGGGUUUUCAUUUUUUUUUGUCUCCGCCAUUGAUAUCGAGACGGAACCAGAGUUCUGAGAGUUGUUUCAUCUUCUUCAUAACAAUCUCUACCGGUUCGUCCUCCUAAAGUCCUUCUUAAAUCUGUCUUGAAUCCGAGCUUACUCAUGCAAAGCGAUGGAAUUGCGAUUAUAGAAAGCUGCGUUGGUGAUGCUCUUCGUCUCUAGGCCAUGUGUUCUCUACCAACUCUUUCCCUAUAAUAUCAGCUAACUCAGUUACGCACGGGUAAAUCUCUUCCCCGUUAGUAAACAAUCUGAACUGAAACUCAUCCCCUUUCAUGAGCAGCGGCGGCGGCUCCAACCUAAGGUGUGUAUUGGCGUUAUUCAUAGCCCACUCAAGAUCUGCAAGCGGAUAGUUUUGAAGCAGAUGGGGAUUUCACAAGCUACAAAGAAGCUGUUACGAUGUGUUGACCUCACGUUCACAACAGGCGGCGGAGAGGGCUGAUGCUGCUGUAGUGGCGGAGGCUCAUCAGAACAGGUUCAAACCAAGGGACCAUAUCUCAGCAAAAUGAGAACUCUCAGAUGCAUAAUUUCGCUGGUGUUAGUGGUGCUCCUGUUGGUGAUAGUUUAGGACCUUCACGUCUCUCUCCGGCUGACUACUACGUCUUGAAACUUUAACAGGGCAUGUGAAUCAAAAUGAGGAUGAUAAAGCUGCGGCUCCGGAGGAUAAGAUGGUUGUGAAAGAGCCUGAGGUAGAAAAUAAACAGAACUGGAACCGGUGUUUGAAAAACAGAAGGAGAGGAAGCAGAAAGCUUUGAAGGAGAAAGAGAUGGAUAAUGUUGCAUACAAUGACUUCGAAACUUCUAUCAAGCAUUACUCCAAAAAGGCAUUAGGGAGAAACAGAAACAUGAAGAGUGAAUCGUUUAAAGAGGGAGACUGCUGAAACAGAGGAAUCACAUAGAAGAAUAAGAAGAAGAGAGUAAGAGAUCCAUGACAGAGCGUCAAGCUGCAGAGAGAGAGAAGCUGCUAGACUGAGAAUAAGGCAAGAAAAGGCACUUCAUCUUGACGGAUCUGAGAAAGGACCUGAUGCUACACAUGAGUCAACAGAAGUUUUUUUUUAUUCUUUAUCGAUGCUUGAAGAGGUAACCUUCAUCUCUCUCUCUCUCUAAAUAUAUGUAUGUAUAUAUUUGUCACUACAAUGUCUUACAAAUACAUUUAUCUGAUUUGUUGAAACAUUUGAUUUGUUCUGAACCUUGCGGGGAAUGGAGGCACAUAUUAUGUAGAAAAAGGGGAUCUUAUGAGUGUGCUCAUGCUUGAUGAAAAGAUUUCUCCUCAAGUUAUGAACAACUCAUGUGUAUCUUGCAAGUGUUCUCACAGAAUCAAGAUAUCUGGAAGCGAAAACUCAGCCGCAAGUGAUUAUGAUCCGCUGCAACAAGCACAUCCAUUGGAGACAACCACUGCACAUGUUCUGCCUCCUUGCGGUGGGAGCUCUGUUGAGGAGCUACUUGUUUUAGCAUUUGAGUGUUUGCUCAAAAAGGCUCACAAUACUUAACCGACCAAGUUAGAAAGAUUAGAAUCCUACUCUUUACUUGCAAUCCUUGAUUUCAUAUAUUAUGUGUGCAGAUUAUUCAUACAAUAAAAUCUUGCUUCACUUUA